This 767-nucleotide long non-coding RNA is filed under the name Parus major (Great Tit). RNAcentral's name for it is "lncRNA (ENSPMJG00000005954.1)". Lineage: Eukaryota; Metazoa; Chordata; Aves; Passeriformes; Paridae. The record is from RNAcentral.
GAGGGAAAUGCCAAAAGUUGGUGGGAAUUUUCUCCUCCCUCAUCUGAGAGAUGGAUUUGCUGGGGCUGUAAGAGGUUCUCCAGGGUCUGCCAGAGGAUCUCAAUGGAAAUCACUUUAAUUUGAGGAGAAUCCUUUCUGUUCUCAAAGCAUUAUUUUGAGCCAAUUCUUUCCUGCUGUGUGAUUUUUGCAAUAUGAAGACUUGACACAGAAUUGUCCUGUGGGUAAAGGCUUGGCCAGAGGCUGGAAGGAGAAGUAUUCAGAAACAGUUUUUGUUUGAUUUUGGAUGUUCCUCUAGGUUUUCCCUGUCACUUAACCUCCUGUCUGUGACAUGGGAAAUUCUUUUUCUUGCCUUAGUGGGCUUCUAUAAGAAUAUAUACUUAGAGAGUCAUGAGAACUGCAAACUGUGGGGCUUGGCCAGGAGCACAGAGGAGCACUCUGGAGCAGCCAGCAGAGAUGGAAGUGUUCCCUUCUGUGACCACGGUCCCAGUUUGCAGGCUGCCUUCACAAUCAGGUCUCCUGGUGCCAAUGGUGACCAGAAGUUUCUGCUGCUCCCGAGACAGCUGAUCCCGUUCUCCAGACACCACUGGGCUCCUGAAAGGACGCUCCACAUCUCUGCAGGGCAGGUGAACCUCUCACGAAAGGGCUGCAAAUUGGGCCAGUCCUGGAGGGAAGCAAUUCCAGGGAUAAAAGCAGGUACAGUAACUACUUCAAUGACCUCAUUUUGCCAGCCUUGGCUGGCUGUGCAGCCCUCAGGGCCACGAGCAAAC